Gossypium arboreum is the source of this 534-nucleotide long non-coding RNA. RefSeq lists it as uncharacterized. NCBI's taxonomy places the organism in Eukaryota, Viridiplantae, Streptophyta, Magnoliopsida, Malvales, Malvaceae. The transcript has 2 exons. The record is from RefSeq and is a predicted model, not a curated record.
GGUGCAUGUCUGAAAAUACAUCUUCGAUAAUUCUCAGUAAGUGAUCUCAAAUCCAUAGUAUAUAUGCACUAAAUUCAUAUCUCUCUUACCUAUUUGCAUGAAGCUUUUUCACCACUUUGAGUGCAUCUCCUUCAAUCUCCACCUUCGGGAAACCCAAAUCAAGACCCAUUUGAACUGCUUGGAAGCAUGCAAAAGCCUCACAGCAAAAGUCGCAGUGUCAGAGUCAAUAGGACUUUCAACGAGUAGAGAUAAAGGCAAAAGGGAAGCAUGUCUAAGCUUUUAGUUUUUCAGCAAAAGCGAAUAUUUCGGUGAGUGUUUUAGAAUCGCUGCUCGUAUAUGAUUCAUUGUGUAUUCGGGAAUUUAGAGGUAGCCUAAACCCCUUCUCUAAGUUCCGAGUGUAAGUGUUCUUUUACCUAUGCUAAAUAUGUGAUAAAUGUCUACGAACUGUGAUAAAAAGAAUUAUGAUGUGAUGAAAUAUGAACAUAUUGUUAUUACUGUUGUGACAGUAAAUAUAAGGGUAUGUCAUUUAUGUCA